AUACGGAGGGGGCUAGCGUUGUUCGGAAUUACUGGGCGUAAAGCGCUCGUAGGCGGACCAGUCAGUCAGAGGUGAAAUCCCAAGGCUCAACCUUGGAACUGCCUUUGAUACUGCUGGUCUUGAGGUCGAGAGAGGUAAGUGGAAUUCCUAGUGUAGAGGUGAAAUUCGUAGAUAUUAGGAAGAACACCAGUGGCGAAGGCGGCUUACUGGCUCGAUUCUGACGCUGAGGAGCGAAAGCGUGGGGAGCAAACAGGAUUAGAAACCCUAGUAGUCC
RNAcentral lists this ribosomal RNA (274 nucleotides) under uncultured bacterium. RNAcentral's name for it is "partial 16S ribosomal RNA". It matches the Rfam family "Bacterial small subunit ribosomal RNA", at positions 523 to 796 of the family's 1533-position model. The record is from RNAcentral.